Molecule: ribosomal RNA, 558 nt
Filed under: Alternaria sp. TL- 6
Lineage: Eukaryota; Fungi; Ascomycota; Dothideomycetes; Pleosporales; Pleosporaceae
Description: eukaryotic LSU rRNA
Rfam family: 5.8S ribosomal RNA (bases 181-334)
Source: RNAcentral
CCCCAGAUGGAUCAUUACCAAUAUGAGGGCGGGCUGGAACCUCUCGGGGUUACAGCCUUGCUGAAUUAUUCACCCUUGUCUUUUGCGUACUUCUUGUUUCCUUGGUGGGUUCGCCCACCACUAGGACAAACAUAAACCUUUUGUAAUUGCAAUCAGCGUCAGUAACAAAUUAAUAAUUACAACUUUCAACAACGGAUCUCUUGGUUCUGGCAUCGAUGAAGAACGCAGCGAAAUGCGAUAAGUAGUGUGAAUUGCAGAAUUCAGUGAAUCAUCGAAUCUUUGAACGCACAUUGCGCCCUUUGGUAUUCCAAAGGGCAUGCCUGUUCGAGCGUCAUUUGUACCCUCAAGCUUUGCUUGGUGUUGGGCGUCUUGUCUCUAGCUUUGCUGGAGACUCGCCUUAAAGUAAUUGGCAGCCGGCCUACUGGUUUCGGAGCGCAGCACAAGUCGCACUCUCUAUCAGCAAAGGUCUAGCAUCCAUUAAGCCUUUUUUUCAACUUUUGACCUCGGAUCAGGUAGGGAUACCCGCUGAACUUAAGCAUAUAAUUAAGCGGAGGGAAA